CCUCGGAUCAGGUAGGAAUACCCGCUGAACUUACAACAGGGAUUGCCCUAGUAACGGCGAGUGAAGCGGCAACAGCUCAAAUUUGAAAUCUGGCUCUCGGGCCCGAGUUGUAAUUUGUAGAGGAUGCUUUUGAUGCGGUGCCUUCCGAGUUCCCUGGAACGGGACGCCAUAGAGGGUGAGAGCCCCGUCUGGUUGGAUGCCAAAUCUCUGUAAAGCUCCUUCGACGAGUCGAGUAGUUUGGGAAUGCUGCUCUAAAUGGGAGGUAUAUGUCUUCUAAAGCUAAAUACCGGCCAGAGACCGAUAGCGCACAAGUAGAGUGAUCGAAAGAUGAAAAGCACUUUGAAAAGAGAGUUAAAAAGUACGUGAAAUUGUUGAAAGGGAAGCGUUUAUGACCAGACUUGGGCUUGGUUAAUCAUCUGGGGUUCUCCCCAGUGCACUUUUCCAGUCCAGGCCAGCAUCAGUUUUCGCCGGGGGAUAAAGGCUUCGGGAAUGUGGCUCUCUCCGGAGAGUGUUAUAGCCCGUUGCGUAAUACCCUGGCGGGGACUGAGGUUCGCGCAUCUGCAAGGAUGCUGGCGUAAUGGUCAUUAACGA
RNAcentral lists this ribosomal RNA (591 nucleotides) under Fusarium chlamydosporum. Its description in RNAcentral is "eukaryotic LSU rRNA". It matches the Rfam family "Eukaryotic large subunit ribosomal RNA", at positions 1 to 647 of the family's 3401-position model. Lineage: Eukaryota; Fungi; Ascomycota; Sordariomycetes; Hypocreales; Nectriaceae. The record is from RNAcentral.